RNAcentral lists this ribosomal RNA (582 nucleotides) under Duganella sp. StTD485. Its description in RNAcentral is "bacterial SSU rRNA". It matches the Rfam family "Bacterial small subunit ribosomal RNA", at positions 102 to 680 of the family's 1533-position model. Lineage: Bacteria; Pseudomonadati; Pseudomonadota; Betaproteobacteria; Burkholderiales; Oxalobacteraceae. The record is from RNAcentral.
ACGGGUGAGUAAUAUAUCGGAACGUACCCAAGAGUGGGGGAUAACGUAGCGAAAGUUACGCUAAUACCGCAUACGAUCUAAGGAUGAAAGCAGGGGAUCGCAAGACCUUGUGCUCCUGGAGCGGCCGAUAUCUGAUUAGCUAGUUGGUGGGGUAAAGGCCCACCAAGGCAACGAUCAGUAGCUGGUCUGAGAGGACGACCAGCCACACUGGAACUGAGACACGGUCCAGACUCCUACGGGAGGCAGCAGUGGGGAAUUUUGGACAAUGGGGGCAACCCUGAUCCAGCAAUGCCGCGUGAGUGAAGAAGGCCUUCGGGUUGUAAAGCUCUUUUGUCAGGGAAGAAAAGGCUGCGGCUAAUAUCCACAGCUGCUGACGGUACCUGAAGAAUAAGCACCGGCUAACUACGUGCCAGCAGCCGCGGUAAUACGUAGGGUGCAAGCGUUAAUCGGAAUUACUGGGCGUAAAGCGUGCGCAGGCGGUUUCGUAAGUCUGUCGUGAAAUCCCCGGGCUUAACCUGGGAAUGGCGAUGGAGACUGCGAGGCUAGAGUUUGGCAGAGGGGGGUAGAAUUCCACGUGUAGCA